Molecule: long non-coding RNA, 544 nt
Filed under: Bos indicus x Bos taurus (hybrid cattle)
Lineage: Eukaryota; Metazoa; Chordata; Mammalia; Artiodactyla; Bovidae
Description: lncRNA (ENSBIXG00005024522.1)
Source: RNAcentral
GUUUAUCACAUCUCUCCUGAACAUCAGAAAUGCCUGUUUUCAUUUUUGCCCUUUCUGUGGCUGCCCUUUUCCCCACUGUGUGCGUCACUUCUCUGCAUGUCUCCCCUGACGCUGGUCUUCCUUUCAAACUGAAGCAUUUUGCCAUGAUGCCCUUUGCUGCCUCACUUCAAAUGUCUGCCCCCUCCUCCGUCUUUACUUUUCCCCAAGGCCCUGGACUUGCUUUCUUUGGAGGCAGUGCCUACCCACUCUUUCUUUCCACAGCUUUGGCCAGCUGGCCCCAGAAAUCAAUCAGUGGCCCAUCAGAGACCAGGCUAGCAGCUGUCACUCCCACCAUGGAAUUUAGGUUCAAACCACAGUGCAGGCCGCCACCCUCACAGAGCCUGGUUGCCUUCCAGUGUCUCUUUGAACAAGGCCCAGCGAGUCCUUCCAUGUCUACUGCUUCAUUCCCGAAGAGAAUAAACACCUCUCCAACCUCAGCCUGCCGAGCGGAGUCACCAAAGUUCUUCCAGCAGCCUUGGCCUUUUGUAUCUGAGGCAUUUUCCAA